CAGCCGCCGCGGGAAUACGAAGGGGGCUAGCGUUGUUCGGAUUAACUGGGCGUAAAGGGCGCGUAGGCGGGCUGAUAAGUCAGGGGUGAAAUCCCAAGGCUCAACCUUGGAACUGCCUUUGAUACUGUCGGCCUUGAGUCCGGGAGAGGUGAGUGGAACUGCGAGUGUAGAGGUGAAAUUCGUAGAUAUUCGGAAGAACACCAGUGGCGAAGGCGGCUCACUGGCUCAUACUGGACGCUGAGGUGCGAAAGCGUGGGGAGCAAACAGGAUUAGAUACCCCAGUAGUCCCUGUCUCUUAUAC
Molecule: ribosomal RNA, 301 nt
Filed under: uncultured bacterium
Lineage: Bacteria
Description: partial 16S ribosomal RNA
Rfam family: Bacterial small subunit ribosomal RNA
Source: RNAcentral